UCGUCUUCGGUGAGGCCGGGGUUGGAUAAAUUAGGUCUCGUCACUUGCGCUUCGUCUUCGCCUAAAGAGGUUUACAACCCGAAGGCCGUCAUCCCUCACGCGGCGUCGCUGCAUCAGGCUUGCGCCCAUUGUGCAAUAUUCCCCACUGCUGCCUCCCGUAGGAGUCUGGGCCGUGUCUCAGUCCCAGUGUGGCCGGUCACCCUCUCAGGCCGGCUACCCGUCGUCGCCUUGGUAGGCCAUCACCCCACCAACAAGCUGAUAGGCCGCGGGCUCAUCCA
Molecule: ribosomal RNA, 278 nt
Filed under: uncultured actinomycete
Lineage: Bacteria; Bacillati; Actinomycetota; Actinomycetes; Actinomycetales
Description: partial 16S rRNA
Source: RNAcentral